AAAAUUAAUUGUAUAAAGGGAAGAGAAGGAAAGGCCCCUACGAAAACAGAUGAAGCAGCAGAGUGAGCACUAUUUACUGUCGCAGCAAGAAAUGAGGCUACUAAAUCCUACCCUUCUCUUCUUAUCAUUUAUUUUUCUUACUUCACUGCACAGACCCACCUUUGCCUCCAAAAAGUCAUAUGUGGUGUACUUGGGAGCACAUUCAGAUGGCCAAGAAUUGACUUCGAUCGAUCAAAAUCUUGUUUCUGAUUCUCACUAUGAUUUUCUUGGAUCAUUUCUUGGAAGUCGAGAGUUCGCUCAAGAUGCCAUAUUUUACUCAUACACAAGGAACAUCAAUGGUUUUGCUGCAACUAUAGAAGAUGAAGUUGCAGCACAAAUAGCUAAGCAUCCAAAAGUGGUUUCAGUCUUCUUGAACACUGGAAAAAAGUUGCAUACAACUCAUUCAUGGAGCUUCCUUGGACUCGAGCAAAACGGUGUAGUUCCUUCUAACUCAAUCUGGAAGAAAGCAAGAUAUGGUGAAGAUAUAAUUAUUGGAAACCUUGAUACUGGUGUCUGGCCUGAAUCAAAAAGCUUCAGUGACGAAGGGUUGGGACCGAUUCCUUCAAAGUGGAAAGGAAUAUGUCAAAAUGGAUCAGAUCCCGGUUUCCACUGCAAUAGGUCUGCUCUGUUACCAACCUUUUUUUUUUCUUGUUCUCCUUAGAUCAGUAGAUGCAGCACACUCUGCAAAAGGGCCCUCCUUUUUCGAACUGUGUGAUGAGAUAAACCUACCUCUAUAGUCAACUUCAAAUCUUGUUGCAUACUGGUUGAGCCGUGAUUCCUGAAUCCUGAAUCUUGAUCCUCACUUAGGUAUAUAACUAAAAAAUAAAUUCAAUACUAUAAUUUUUCUCGCUGUUGUGAUGGGAUGUGAUAGUGUUCUUCAUGUCCUUAAUUCCUAGUCAAUUAAAUCUCCAGAGAAGAUUAAAUUAAACCGUAAGGAGUUCAUUUAUGUUGAAAACAGGACGGUACACUUUCCUAAACCAGCCAAUCUCGUUCCAAACGGCCGAUUUUAUGGAAUAUAUGCUGCUAUAUUUGAUUUUCCAGAGUGUUAGUAUCCAUAAAGCAUAUUCAUUUGGAGUUUUCUCAUAAAGGAUACAAGAAAAUAAAACUUUUGGAGAUACCACUAAGUUAGCCUAUGGGUUGAAAAUGAAAGCCUCCGGAUAAACAAGUCUUCUCUCACCCGUGGUUUAUGAGUUCAUGUUAUAAUAGUACAAGCAUGCAGAUUAAGCUGGCAAUUGUGCCUAGGGUAUUACAACAAGCUAUAGAAUUCUUAAUUUUUUGCGAGGAAAAUGGGUGUAUAAAAAGGCUGAAAAGAAAUAUUGCGACUUUCAUACCUACCCAUAACUAAAAGCACCUCACUGCUCCUAUGUCGAGGUCAAAAUUCAAGAUCUUUUAUGGAUAGAGUUAAUUCAAUGUAAAUAUGCCGCCACACCAGAAGGUCAGUGACGGAUUUGAACACAUUUAGUUUGUUGUCUGAAAGCAGGAGGAAAAGAAUGUCUACACAAAUUUGGUCAUAUCCUAGACAGAAAUAUUGAUUUUGCAGUUCCCCAGUGGCCACUCUUUUUGAUACAGUGUACUCCAAAGUCAGGAUAAUAGACUAUUUUUUUAACCAUUACAAAAUGAAUUGCUCUAGAUCUAACUUUCCCCAUCUCCAGCAUUUCUCUGUUAGGGCAUGCAAGAGUUCAGCACAUUAGUUUAAAAAGAAGAAAUAUUAUUUUAUUAUUAUUACAAAUUUGUUUGCCGACCAACUCCAUGCAUUAACAUGAUGCAAGUUGCUAAUUAAGUUGAUUAAACUUCUAAUAUUAUAUAUGGCCAUCACUAUCAGUUCAUUAUUUAUGUUUCAUUAAACAGGCAGCAUGUUAGAUUAUGUAAUCUUGUUUGAUCAUAUAUAUUUUGUUUUGUGUCUUCUUGUAGUAUACUCCAUCUCCUAUUUUAAAAGAAGGAUUUUGGGCUGAUUCUUGAGCCCUUGCACCCAUAUUUGUCUAAAUCAUUUCUAAUGAUGGAAAAUUUUGCUCAUUAAACUUUUAUUUUUUUUGCAAUUAACAUACCUAAUUCCAGUGAGAAACCCACUACAAAUUUGAUGUAACAUUCAAUUUGGAGUAGACUUUUAUUACGAAAAUAAAAAUAUUAAUGUUUGAUUUUUGGUCUACACUAUGUCAAACUGUUGUCUGAGUCUUGCCCAGAAUCAUAUAAGAACAUCAAAUUUAAUGACCAAGUUAUAAUAAAUUAGUUUUAUAACAACUUGUUCAGUCCCCAUUAGAAAAAUUACAGAAGUUGUUAGAUUAGUUAGCAUUUGAGGCAUUUUCUUUUGGUUGUGGAAUAAUUUUCAUGGGAAAUUUUGUGUGUGUAU
This 2386-nucleotide unclassified non-coding RNA is filed under the name Hevea brasiliensis (rubber tree). The record is from RNAcentral. Lineage: Eukaryota; Viridiplantae; Streptophyta; Magnoliopsida; Malpighiales; Euphorbiaceae.